GGUGCAUUUUCAAGUUUUAUUUGGGCUUUAUUUCUUCUUAGAUGCUUGAGGUGUUCUUGCAGAUACAAUUAACAUAGGACGUUAGGUUCUGUUAGGUUCUCAUGCACUGAAAGACAAUUUCUAAUAACACUGCGUAUGUUGGGAUACAAUAAAAAUUUCAAAAGCCAUGUGUAAUUUCAGAAAACUUAAUACCAGUCAUGAAAGACAUUUUCAACAUAAAAUUUAGGCACUCUAUACUUGGGAAUAGCCACAAAAUAUUCCAACAAGAGUUAAUGCACUUUGUGAUUACCUCUACUAAAAGAUAAUUCUCUGCUAACACCUGAAAAAGAAGGCCCUAACCAACUUGAAAAGUAUUCUUGUAUUUUCUGCUGUAGUUACUUUCUUAGCAUGCACACUGCAGCACAUGUG
This 408-nucleotide long non-coding RNA is filed under the name Bos taurus (domestic cattle). Its description in RNAcentral is "long non-coding RNA NONBTAT018755". The record is from RNAcentral. Lineage: Eukaryota; Metazoa; Chordata; Mammalia; Artiodactyla; Bovidae.